Long non-coding RNA from Solea solea (common sole), 284 nucleotides. RefSeq lists it as uncharacterized. NCBI's taxonomy places the organism in Eukaryota, Metazoa, Chordata, Actinopteri, Pleuronectiformes, Soleidae. The transcript is spliced from 3 exons. The record is from RefSeq and is a predicted model, not a curated record.
AAUUAACAGCUGGCUGUUGUCUUAACAUCUGUCAAACAAAUCAUUGGACAAGUUAAAAUGUGCACAUGAUUGAUAUUUUAUCCACUGCCCUCCAAUGACUGCAACACCUUCAGCAUCGACUGCACCACCAGAAACAACAGGACACAGGUCCUGUCGUUACAACUGUGGUUAUGACCUGGGAGUCUGCUCCUGCCGCAGCUCGUGUAACUACUAUGGUACCUGUUGCUAUGACUACAACAACUACUGCGCUGGAACAACAGAACCUCCAGAAACCACAGGUAGGA